AGAGUUUGAUCAUGGCUCAGAAUCAACGCUGGCGGCGUGCCUAACACAUGCAAGUCGAACGAGAAAGUGGAGCAAUCCAUGAGUAAAGUGGCGCACGGGUGAGUAACACGUGACUAACCUACCCUUGAGUGGGGGAUAACCUCGGGAAACCUUGGCUAAUACCGCAUAACACCUACGGGUCAAAGGAGCAAUUCGCUUAAGGAGGGGGUCGCGGCAGAUUAGUUAGUUGGCGGGGUAAUGGCCCACCAAGACAGUGAUCUGUAUCCGGCCUGAGAGGGCGCACGGACACACUGGAACUGAAACACGGUCCAGACUCCUACGGGAGGCAGCAGUGGGGAAUUUUGCGCAAUGGGGGAAACCCUGACGCAGCAACGCCGCGUGGAGGAUGAAGUCCCUUGGGACGUAAACUCCUUUCGACCGGGACGAUUAUGACGGUACCGGAAGAAGAAGCCCCGGCUAACUUCGUGCCAGCAGCCGCGGUAAUACGAGGGGGGCGAGCGUUGUUCGGAAUUAUUGGGCGUAAAGGGUGCGUAGGCGGUUCGGUAAGUUUCGUGUGAAAUCUUCGGGCUCAACUCGAAGCCUGCACGAAAUACUGCCGGGCUUGAGUGUGGGAGAGGUGAGUGGAAUUUCCGGUGUAGCGGUGAAAUGCGUAGAUAUCGGAAGGAACACCUGUGGCGAAAGCGGCUCACUGGACCACAACUGACGCUGAUGCACGAAAGCUAGGGGAGCAAACAGGAUUAGAUACCCCCGUAGUCC
Molecule: ribosomal RNA, 756 nt
Filed under: uncultured bacterium
Lineage: Bacteria
Description: bacterial SSU rRNA
Rfam family: Bacterial small subunit ribosomal RNA
Source: RNAcentral